RNAcentral lists this ribosomal RNA (441 nucleotides) under uncultured bacterium. RNAcentral's name for it is "partial 16S ribosomal RNA". It matches the Rfam family "Bacterial small subunit ribosomal RNA", at positions 338 to 795 of the family's 1533-position model. The record is from RNAcentral.
CCUACGGGAGGCAGCAGUGGGGGAUAUUGCACAAUGGGGGGAACCCUGAUGCCGCGACGCCGCGUGGGUGAAGGAGUGCUUCGGCAUGUAAAGCCCUAUCGGCAGGGAAGAAGCAAGACGGUACCUGACUAAGAAGCACCGGCUCACUACGUGCCAGCAGCCGCGGUAAUACGUAGGGGGCGAGCGUUAUCCGGCUUCACUGGGUGUAAAGGGAGCGUGGACGGCCAAGCAAGCCAGGGGUGAAAGCCCGGGGCCCAACCCCGGGACUGCCCUUGGAACUGCAUGGCUGGAGGGCGGGAGGGGAAGGGGGAAUUCCUGGGGUAGGGGUGAAAUGCGUAGAGAGCAGGAGGAACACCGGCGGCGAAGGCGGCCUGCUGGACCGCGACUGACGUUGAGGCUCGAAAGCGUGGGGAGCGAACAGGAUUAGAUACCCUAGUAGUC